This 756-nucleotide ribosomal RNA is filed under the name Flavobacterium sp. RNAcentral describes it as "bacterial SSU rRNA". It matches the Rfam family "Bacterial small subunit ribosomal RNA", at positions 90 to 849 of the family's 1533-position model. The record is from RNAcentral. Lineage: Bacteria; Pseudomonadati; Bacteroidota; Flavobacteriia; Flavobacteriales; Flavobacteriaceae.
AGAGACCGGCGCACGGGUGCGUAACGCGUAUGCAAUCUACCUUUCACAGAGGGAUAGCCCAGAGAAAUUUGGAUUAAUACCUCAUAGUAUAGCAGUUUCGCAUGAAACCACUAUUAAAGUCACAACGGUGAAAGAUGAGCAUGCGUCCCAUUAGCUAGUUGGUAAGGUAACGGCUUACCAAGGCAACGAUGGGUAGGGGUCCUGAGAGGGAGAUCCCCCACACUGGUACUGAGACACGGACCAGACUCCUACGGGAGGCAGCAGUGAGGAAUAUUGGACAAUGGGCGCAAGCCUGAUCCAGCCAUGCCGCGUGCAGGAUGACGGUCCUAUGGAUUGUAAACUGCUUUUGUACAGGAAGAAACACUCCCUCGUGAGGGAGCUUGACGGUACUGUAAGAAUAAGGAUCGGCUAACUCCGUGCCAGCAGCCGCGGUAAUACGGAGGAUCCAAGCGUUAUCCGGAAUCAUUGGGUUUAAAGGGUCCGUAGGCGGUUUAGUAAGUCAGUGGUGAAAGCCCAUCGCUCAACGGUGGAACGGCCAUUGAUACUGCUAAACUUGAAUUAUUAGGAAGUAACUAGAAUAUGUAGUGUAGCGGUGAAAUGCUUAGAGAUUACAUGGAAUACCAAUUGCGAAGGCAGGUUACUACUAAUGGAUUGACGCUGAUGGACGAAAGCGUGGGUAGCGAACAGGAUUAGAUACCCUGGUAGUCCACGCCGUAAACGAUGGAUACUAGCUGUUGGAAGCAAUUUCAGUGGCUA